AGAAUCAACGCUGGCGGCGUGCCUAACACAUGCAAGUCGCACGAGAAAGGGGCUUCGGUCCUGAGUACAGUGGCGCACGGGUGAGUAACACGUGAAUAAUCUACCUCCGAGUGGGGAAUAACUGAGAGAAAUCUUAGCUAAUACCGCAUAACACUUACGAGUCAAAGCAGCAAUGCGCUUGGAGAGGAGUUCGCGGCAGAUUAGUUAGUUGGCGGGGUAAUGGCCCACCAAGACGAUGAUCGGUA
Molecule: ribosomal RNA, 245 nt
Filed under: uncultured bacterium
Lineage: Bacteria
Description: partial small subunit ribosomal RNA
Rfam family: Bacterial small subunit ribosomal RNA
Source: RNAcentral